GGUGGAUUAGUGGCGAACGGGUGAGUAACACGUGAGAAAUCUGCCCUUGACUCUGGGAUAACUGCGGGAAACUGUAGCUAAUACCGGAUACUUUCCUUGGUGGGCAUCCACUGGGGAAGAAAGAAUUUCGGUCAAGGAUGAUCUCGCGGCCUAUCAGCUAGUUGGUGAGGUAAUGGCUCACCAAGGCGACGACGGGUAGCCGGCCUGAGAGGGUGACCGGCCACACUGGGACUGAGACACGGCCCAGACUCCUACGGGAGGCAGCAGUGGGGAAUAUUGCACAAUGGGCGCAAGCCUGAUGCAGCAACGCCGCGUGAGGGACGAAGGCCUUCGGGUUGUAAACCUCUUUUAGCAGGGAAGAAGCGAAAGUGACGGUACCUGCAGAAAAAGCACCGGCUAACUACGUGCCAGCAGCCGCGGUAAUACGUAGGGUGCAAGCGUUGUCCGGAAUUAUUGGGCGUAAAGAGCUCGUAGGCGGUUUGUCACGUCUGCUGUGAAAUUUCGAGGCUCAACCUCGA
RNAcentral lists this ribosomal RNA (518 nucleotides) under uncultured Microbacteriaceae bacterium. RNAcentral's name for it is "bacterial SSU rRNA". It matches the Rfam family "Bacterial small subunit ribosomal RNA", at positions 86 to 618 of the family's 1533-position model. The record is from RNAcentral. Lineage: Bacteria; Bacillati; Actinomycetota; Actinomycetes; Micrococcales; Microbacteriaceae.